RNAcentral lists this ribosomal RNA (450 nucleotides) under uncultured bacterium. Its description in RNAcentral is "bacterial SSU rRNA". It matches the Rfam family "Bacterial small subunit ribosomal RNA", at positions 354 to 796 of the family's 1533-position model. The record is from RNAcentral.
GUGGGGAAUUUUGGACAAUGGGGGCAACCCUGAUCCAGCCAUGCCGCGUGAGUGAAGAAGGCCUUCGGGUUGUAAAGCUCUUUCGGUGGGAACGAAACGGGUGGUACUAAUACUGCCACUUAAUGACGGUACUCACAGAAGAAGCACCGGCUAACUACGUGCCAGCAGCCGCGGUAAUACGUAGGGUGCGAGCGUUAAUCGGAAUUACUGGGCGUAAAGCGUGCGCAGGCGGUCUGCCAAGCUCGAUGUGAAAGCCCCGGGCUUAACCUGGGAAUUGCAUUGAGGACUGGCUGGCUCGAGUGCGGCAGAGGGGGGUGGAAUUCCACGUGUAGCAGUGAAAUGCGUAGAGAUGUGGAGGAACACCGAUGGCGAAGGCAGCCCCCUGGGCCGACACUGACGCUCAUGCACGAAAGCGUGGGGAGCAAACAGGAUUAGAUACCCUGGUAGUCC